Molecule: ribosomal RNA, 493 nt
Filed under: uncultured bacterium
Lineage: Bacteria
Description: bacterial SSU rRNA
Rfam family: Bacterial small subunit ribosomal RNA
Source: RNAcentral
GGAAGAGUUUGAUCCUGGCUCAGGAUGAACGCUGGCGGCGUGCUUAACACAUGCAAGUCGAACGUGAGAAUAGCAAUAUUUGAAAGUGGCAAACGGGUGAGUAACACGUGGGAACCUGCCUCGAAGUGGGAGAUAACGAUUGGAAACGGUCGCUAAUACCGCACGGUUCUGCUCUGAUGGGAAUGGAGCAGAUAAAGAUUUAUCGCUUUGAGAGGGGCCCGCGGCCGAUUAGCUAGUUGGUAAGGUAAAGGCUUACCAAGGCGAUUAUCGGUAGCUGGUCUGAGAGGACGAUCAGCCACACGGGAACUGAGACACGGUCCCGACUCCUACGGGGGGCAGCAGUGAGGAAUAUUGGGCAAUGGGCGAAAGCCUGACCCAGCAACGCCGCGUGGAGGAUGAAGGCCUUAGGGUUGUAAAGUUCUUUUACCCGUGACGAUGAUGACGGUAACGGGGGAAUAAGCUCCGGCUAACUUCGUGCCAGCAGCCGCGGUAA